RNAcentral lists this ribosomal RNA (253 nucleotides) under uncultured bacterium. Its description in RNAcentral is "partial 16S ribosomal RNA". It matches the Rfam family "Bacterial small subunit ribosomal RNA", at positions 524 to 776 of the family's 1533-position model. RNAcentral also lists the same sequence under 1 other name. The record is from RNAcentral.
UACGAAGGGGGCUAGCGUUGUUCGGAUUUACUGGGCGUAAAGCGCACGUAGGCGGAAAUUUAAGUCAGGGGUGAAAUCCCGAGGCUCAACCUCGGAACUGCCUUUGAUACUGGGUUUCUUGAGUCCGGAAGAGGUGAGUGGAACUGCGAGUGUAGAGGUGAAAUUCGUAGAUAUUCGCAAGAACACCAGUGGCGAAGGCGGCUCACUGGUCCGGAACUGACGCUGAGGUGCGAAAGCGUGGGGAGCAAACAGG